Molecule: long non-coding RNA, 210 nt
Filed under: Panax ginseng (ginseng)
Lineage: Eukaryota; Viridiplantae; Streptophyta; Magnoliopsida; Apiales; Araliaceae
Description: long non-coding RNA (PGIN_LNC014194)
Source: RNAcentral
AGAAAGUAAGAUGAGUAGUAGUAGUAAACAAGUUUGGCUCUAUUAAUGUCUGCGCUCGUCAUCUUAUCGAACAAGAAAGGCCAUAUAUGUCUUUCUAAUCUUAUUUUCCCAACGCUUCUAUUCUUGUCUCAUCUAAUCCCAGAUUCUUGCCUCCUGUUGAUACAAAUUAUUAAUGAGACGUAACUUAUAACUAAUACCUAUCGACAUUUC